GGGCCCGCACAAGCGGUGGAGCAUGUGGUUUAAUUCGAUGAUACGCGAGGAACCUUACCAGGGCUUAAAUGUAGUGGGACAGGUCUAGAGAUAGACCCUUCUUCGGACUCAUUACAAGGUGCUGCAUGGUUGUCGUCAGCUCGUGCCGUGAGGUGUCAGGUUAAGUCCUAUAACGAGCGCAACCCCUAUCGUUAGUUGCCAUCAAGUAAAGUUGGGAACUCUAGCGAAACUGCCGGUGUAAACCGAGAGGAAGGUGGGGAUGACGUCAAAUCAUCACGGCCCUUACGUUCUGGGCUACACACGUGCUACAAUGGUAGGGACAACAGGUUGCCAACCCGCGAGGGUGAGCCAAUCCCAAAACCCUAUCUCAGUUCGGAUCGGAGUCUGCAACUCGACUCCGUGAAGUUGGAAUCGCUAGUAAUCG
RNAcentral lists this ribosomal RNA (424 nucleotides) under uncultured bacterium. RNAcentral's name for it is "bacterial SSU rRNA". It matches the Rfam family "Bacterial small subunit ribosomal RNA", at positions 917 to 1344 of the family's 1533-position model. The record is from RNAcentral.